GGGGGUGAUGAGGGGGCUGAAAUCAGCAGAGAGGUCAAAACGGACAAGCUCUAGGCCAGUAGGACCUUGUGACAGUGUGUUGUGUUCCCGGACCGGGCUUUGAGAAGUGACUGGAUCCAGAGACAGCAAACACAAAGCUGCUGGUUCAGGGCUGGCCUCAAAAGCCAACAGCCGGACACUGGAACAUGGAACAGCGGAGGGGGAGGAGAGCAAACAAGGGAAGACUUAACAAAGGAAAUGAAAUACAAAGUAGAAACAGAGCUAU
Molecule: long non-coding RNA, 265 nt
Organism: Callorhinchus milii (elephant shark)
Lineage: Eukaryota; Metazoa; Chordata; Chondrichthyes; Chimaeriformes; Callorhinchidae
Exons: 3
Source: RefSeq, a predicted model, not a curated record